CCUACGGGUGGCAGCAGUGAGGAAUAUUGGUCAAUGGCCGUAAGGCUGAACCAGCCAAGUAGCGUGAGGGAAGACUGCCCUAUGGGUUGUAAACAUCUUUUAUGCGGGGAUAAAGGUGUCCACGUGUGGAUGUUUGCAGGUACCGCAUGCAUAAGGACCGGCUAAGUCCGUGCCCGUAGCCGCGGUAAUACGGAAGGUCCGGGCGGUAUCCGGAUUUAUUGGGUUGAAGGGGUGCGCAGGCGGAAUGUCCAGUCAGCGGUAAAAUUUCGGGGCUCAACCCCGGCGUGGCGUUGAAACUGGCGUUCGUGAGGGAGCGAGAAGUAUGCGGAAGGCGUGGUGUAGCGGUGAAAUGCAUAGAUAUCACGCAGAACUCCGAGUGCGAAGGCAGCAUACCGGCGCGCAACGGACGCGCAUGCACGAAAGCGUGGGUAUCGAACAGGAUUAGAGACCCGUGUAGUC
This 459-nucleotide ribosomal RNA is filed under the name uncultured bacterium. Its description in RNAcentral is "partial 16S ribosomal RNA". It matches the Rfam family "Bacterial small subunit ribosomal RNA", at positions 338 to 795 of the family's 1533-position model. The record is from RNAcentral.